AUUCCCUUUUAAAAAAACAAAAAAAAAACUCUCCAAACACUCUCCCUUUCCCAGUCGUCCAGCCAGGGUCCGGGCAUCGGCCGGUCGUCAGCCACCGUGCCGGCCGCCGAUCUCCGGCGACAGCACCGCCGUCUAUGGUGGUCGAAAAAGGAAAAAACCUCAGAUCCGGAUCUUUCGAAGCCCCUAAACCCAAAUCUGGCCCCAAAACCCUCAAAAUACUGCUGAAAGAUCCCCCAAUCCUCAAGAAACCCUUCAAUUUCCGGCCAUUCACGGCGAUCUGGACGCCACUAAGGUUGCUUCUUUCCUCUUUUACUUUGUUUUAUUCGCAUGUAGGAAAAAAAAUGAAAUAUAACAAUAAAAAAAUAAAGAUUGUAAAUAUCAACCUUUUUUGAUCGAUUUCGCUCUUUUGGUAUUCUGUCGUUUUUUGUAUUGUAAAAAUAUUUGCUCUUUUUUAUUGAUCUCUCAAAAUCCUCCCCCCUUUACAAUAUUUUUAGUCUGCUUUUUUAUAGCAGUCAUGAACAAAAGAAAAAAGGUAUGAAAUCUCUUCGUGCAUCUCGCUGAUUUCCUCCGAUUUUUUUGUUAUUCUACCAAUUCUUGUUUCCUUUUUUUGUUAUUUCUUGCUGUGCAGGUGAACGUGGCUCGUGCGAGGCGGCGCGGAUGCUUACCCUAGACACCUUAAGGUUUCCUGAAUCUGUUUUGGGCCGCAUGUGUAAUUGGGCCAUGUAUUUUGGGCCAACUAUUUUGUCUUAUUAAUUGGGCCAUAUAGGCCUAUUUGUAAUUUGGGCCUUUUAGACUCGAGCGAAAUCGGGCAUUUACACUAUCGGUUUAGGGAUUUCAACAUUUAUAGAUUUGAAGAUUUUAGGGAUUCAAUAAAGAUUUCGAAGGUUAGGGAUUUGGGGAUUUCACGAUUUGGGGAUUUUAGAAGUUGGGAAAAAAGUAUCAAAUUUGGGGGUUUUCAGAUUUAGGGGUUUUUUUGUUUUAUGUUUAUUAAAUUUGUUUAUUUUUUGCCACGUCAGCUUAUUUAUUUUAAUGUCAGC
Molecule: long non-coding RNA, 1037 nt
Filed under: Gossypium barbadense (sea-island cotton)
Lineage: Eukaryota; Viridiplantae; Streptophyta; Magnoliopsida; Malvales; Malvaceae
Description: long non-coding RNA (GBAR_LNC017052)
Source: RNAcentral